This is a long non-coding RNA of Alligator mississippiensis (American alligator), 2563 nucleotides long. RefSeq lists it as uncharacterized. The transcript is spliced from 2 exons. The record is from RefSeq and is a predicted model, not a curated record. Lineage: Eukaryota; Metazoa; Chordata; Crocodylia; Alligatoridae.
UCACCUGUAAUGAAUGAAUAAAUAAUACAGAGUAAUAUCAGAUCUCAUACUCAAAGUUUCACCUGAGGAAAUAAUGGAGGAGCCAUACUUACUGGGCCAGGAAAAGAGGGGUUUAUAGGCUAUUUUCAAAAAGAAUUUCCAGCUAAAUUAGAUUUUGGAUACAUAAUUUAGCUCUGAAAUCCAUAAGGGAUGUGUUGUUUAUUGUAUUAGUUUUUACCAGUCAAAAUUAAUGUUUACUUAUAAGUAUAAUAACCACAUUUUACUGCACCAAAAUAUAUCAGUAACAUGUAAAAUUUGUUUCCAGCUUUCCAUCUAGUGGCAGGAGGCCAUUAUCAACUGUUCCUGCAGAUGUAUAGGCAUUAACUGCUUAUCUUCAACCUUGUUCUUCAGCUCCUUAACUGGAACUAAGAGAAUCGGAUACAAAUAUUGCAAUCAUUUUGAAGCUAUCGCUUUCAACCUUUAGGUUUGAUAUCACUAUUGAGUAGACACUGUCUGUAUUUGAUUCUCUUAAGGUAGCACUUGUAAGACUCUGGAGAAAAUAUUAAGUACUUAACAGGUUUAUUCAAACUACUAAAUAAUUUAUUUUUAUACAUAGCUGUGAACACUGCUCACUACACUGCAAACAUUAUCUGCUUCUAAAAUGUUCUUGCACUGGGCUUUAAUGCUUAUUACUGUUAAUAGUUUGGUACAGUAAUAAGUGGUUUUGUUAGAAACUCAUUUGAUGCAGUGUGUUAUCGGUGAGCUUAGACAUAAACCAAUCUCUGAUUUUGCUUGCUACCAGCCUAACCUAAUUAAAUAUGAAAUUUUUAAAAAGUAAAAACUGGUGCUUCCCCUUAAAAGGGUUGUAAUAUUAAUAUGAUUCUAUAAAACGUGUAAUGGUACUUCUCCCCUCUCAUCUUAUAAAAGUUCUAUAGAUUAAAGGAACCAACGCAGGAAGAUGAUUCAAGAUCAGCCAUUAAGCAAAUAAGACAGGAAUGUAAUGGUUCAUGCCAAGGGGGAAUUAAAGUAUGAAUGAAUUGGAUAUGGCAGAGUAUUGGUUUCUGGCACUCUUAAAGUUGCAAGAUGAUAUUCUUAAAUCUCAAGCUAAUUUGAUCUGUCUUUUGUCAUUAGACUUAGCAUACAGUUCUAGGUGAAUUGCAGAUCUAGUAUGAUGAGUGACUAUGAAAAUACAUCCCGCUUCUGAGAUCAGCCCUUUGAAUAUAUAUAGUAGUGUUGUCUUGCUCUACUACCAGUUUUGCUCUGUGUUAACCUUCUUGUGCAAAUGUACGUGCUACAUUCUAUUUUGUUUCACACUUUAAGUUCCAGUCUGGUUACGCCUGUACAAAACCUGUGCCAUCACUGUAACUGCAAAAUCAUUUUUUAUGAAAGAUGAUUCAUAAGAAAAGAACCCAGGGUUAGAACUUUAACUUGUCACUAGAAGACAUUUGAUCUGGAAACAGACCAUCACCAGUAAUGCUUUCAAUCUUUCAGGGUGGAACAUUACUCUGAAGUGUUUGAAACUAGCAUACAUGCUGUCACAUGAAUCACGGUUCCACCUAGCAGAUCAGAAAUAGCAUUCACUGAAACAGGAAUCUCUGAAAGACUUUUUUCCUUAUGUACAAUAAGGUACCUGCUCUUUUUCCCCUCUUCAUGAACAAGAGGUAUGUUUUGAACAAGGUGUGAAUGUGGUGAGUGCUGAAUUCUGUACCUGUAUAUUAGAAUAUGAGACAUACUAGUUUGCAUCAAAUUGCAUCCACCCCUGUGGCAGUUGCUUUCUUUUCUGUAUUUUUUUUUAAAAAGGGAGUAAUGUAAGGUAGGCUUAACUGUAAAUAAGAUGCAUAAGUAAUAAAAUAUACAGGUAGAGCUAGAGUGAGUUACCAAGGAGAGAAGCAAGAGCUAUAUCCUUUUUUUCUUUUCAUUUCCCACCCCCUUCUGCUUUUAAUAUACUGACAUAGCAGAAGGCUUUUAACUGCCCUGCUUGGUUUUCAAGUUAGAAACUGGUUUCUACUGGAAGUAACUGCAGAACUAGGAAAUAAGAUUGAAAGGGGAAACAAUUUAGAUUAAGAAACAUGUUUGCUUUUACAGUUAUCAUUCCAAGUCCCAUUACUGGGGGAACCAUGAUGACUUAGAUUUAGCAAUUCUGUCCUUCCCCUUUUAAGAUAUGGACUUGCAUUCAUAAUAGACAAAGCUUCCAAGAAAUUCAACAGUACUUGAUAUUCUUGAUGACUUUUUCUAUUUAAAAAAACCCCAAAAACCAAAAAACAUUUUCAGCAGAAAAGGGUGAGCCCCACAUUUUCUUUUUUUUUUCCUUUUCUUUUACAAGUCCCUCUCAAAUGACAAAUUUUAAGAUGACUUACUAUUUUUUUUUUGAAAGUUUCUUCUUGAACUAUGGAAUUUGCGCAUCUCUUUAACAACUGAUAUGAUACAAGUCCCUCCAUGUUUGCAGUGAAACUGUUUCAGAGGUGUUAAUGAGAAUUACGGUUGUAUGGAGGAAACUCAUUCCAGUUUUGGCAGAUAAAUUUGGUAACUUUUGUUUUAAAAUAACACCGUAUCUAAUACUGUUUACGGUCUUUAAUACUGAAAA